RNAcentral lists this ribosomal RNA (252 nucleotides) under uncultured bacterium. RNAcentral's name for it is "partial 16S ribosomal RNA". It matches the Rfam family "Bacterial small subunit ribosomal RNA", at positions 524 to 775 of the family's 1533-position model. The record is from RNAcentral.
UACGUAGGGUGCAAGCGUUAAUCGGAAUUACUGGGCGUAAAGCGUGCGCAGGCGGUUAUGUAAGACAGUUGUGAAAUCCCCGGGCUCAACCUGGGAAUUGCAUCUGUGACUGCAUAGCUAGAGUACGGUAGAGGGGGAUGGAAUUCCGCGUGUAGCAGUGAAAUGCGUAGAUAUGCGGAGGAACACCGAUGGCGAAGGCAAUCCCCUGGACCUGUACUGACGCUCAUGCACGAAAGCGUGGGGAGCAACAGG